AAAUGCCUAAAAUUCAAAAUCAUUUUUCACACAUUCUCUUUUUUUUUUUUUUAAAAAUUCAAAUUCGGGCUUGGAGCCCUUUUUAUUGAACAAAAAAUCAUGUAUAUUUACAGAGGCCAGGCCCAAAAGUGGCCUGGCCCAAUCUCAAAACAUCUAAAUUAAAAAAAAGCCUAAGGACAACCAGAAAAUUCUAAAUCGUUCAAUUAGGAAAGGCGACUGAAAAAUCACCUUUCCCAAAUCUCCAAAUCAUUAAGAUCUUUUACAAUAAUGUUGAGUUUCAAAUAUGCAUAUAUGCGGUAACGAUGAGCUGAACCUACUCUAUAACAGCUAAGUUUUCUCUUCCCUUUCCUUUCAUCUAUUCCUUAUACGAGUGGAUUGAUCACCACCCCGAGUAAGAACUAGGAUCUAGAAAUGAGAGAUGAACUUAUUCUAAUCUAUAUCUCGUGUGUCAAAUGGUUGAGUUUAUUUUGGCUGGAAUUUUUUGGAUCUGGACUUAUUUUCGUUUAAAUAUUUGGCCAGAAUUCUCCAAUUUUCACUGAGCGCAGGUUAUAUAUUGAUGGAAAUCGCUUCCAACGAAAGGUUUGGACGCUCAGGUUCCUGACCGCACUUAGAUAAGAUUCAAUCAGCAGUAUCAGAUUUAGAUGCUUUUAUUUUAGUAUUUCGCUUUAGUAUUUCAGUAGUCGGAGUUAGUUGGGGGCUUGUCCCAUCAAUUCCACAUUCAGACAGUUCAGUCAGAGGCUUUUCAGACUAGACUAGUUCAGACCAUAUUUCAGAUUUCAGAUGUGUUAUCAUAUGUUAUUACAGUUGUUAUUCUUUAUCAGUAUUCAAAUUUUGAGCCUUAUAGCA
Capsicum annuum is the source of this 846-nucleotide long non-coding RNA. RefSeq lists it as uncharacterized. The transcript is spliced from 2 exons. NCBI's taxonomy places the organism in Eukaryota, Viridiplantae, Streptophyta, Magnoliopsida, Solanales, Solanaceae. The record is from RefSeq and is a predicted model, not a curated record.